GGCUCAGAUUGAACGCUGGCGGCAUGCCUUACACAUGCAAGUCGAACGGCAGCACGGACUUCGGUCUGGUGGCGAGUGGCGAACGGGUGAGUAAUGCAUCGGAACGUGCCAUUGAGUGGGGGAUAACGUAGCGAAAGUUGCGCUAAUACCGCAUAUUCUGUGAGCAGGAAAGCAGGGGACCGCAAGGCCUUGCGCUCUUUGAGCGGCCGAUGUCAGAUUAGCUAGUUGGUGAGGUAAAGGCUUACCAAGGCGACGAUCUGUAGCGGGUCUGAGAGGAUGAUCCGCCACACUGGAACUGAGACACGGUCCAGACUCCUACGGGAGGCAGCAGUGGGGAAUUUUGGACAAUGGGGGCAACCCUGAUCCAGCCAUGCCGCGUGAGUGAAGAAGGCCUUCGGGUUGUAAAGCUCUUUCGGCCGGGAAGAAAUCGCAUGGGCCAAUACCCUGUGUGGAUGACGGUACCGGAAUAAGAAGCACCGGCUAACUACGUG
Molecule: ribosomal RNA, 491 nt
Filed under: uncultured bacterium
Lineage: Bacteria
Description: bacterial SSU rRNA
Rfam family: Bacterial small subunit ribosomal RNA
Source: RNAcentral